RNAcentral lists this ribosomal RNA (482 nucleotides) under uncultured bacterium. RNAcentral's name for it is "partial 16S ribosomal RNA". It matches the Rfam family "Bacterial small subunit ribosomal RNA", at positions 30 to 507 of the family's 1533-position model. The record is from RNAcentral.
AUUGAACGCUGGCGGCAUGCCUUACACAUGCAAGUCGAACGGUAACAGGUCUUCGGAUGCUGACGAGUGGCGAACGGGGGGGUAAUACAUCGGAACGUGCCCGAUCGUGGGGGAUAAAGAAGCGAAAGCUUUGCUAAUACCGCAUACGAUCUACGGAUGACAGCGGGGGAUCUUCGGACCUCGCGCGGACGGAGCGGCCGAUGGCAGAUUAGGUAGUUGGUGGGAUAAAAGCUGACCACGCCGACGAUCUGUAGCUGGUCUGAGAGGAUGAUCAGCCACACUGGGACUGAGACACGGCCCAGACUCCUACGGGAGGCAGCAGUGGGGAAUUUUGGACAAUGGGCGCAAGCCUGAUCCAGCCAUGCCGCGUGCAGGAUGAAGGCCUUCGGGUUGUAAACUGCUUUUGUACGGAACGAAAAGGUGCCUUCUAAUAAAGGGCGCUCAUGACGGUACCGUAAGAAUAAGCACCGGCUAACUACGUG